This 446-nucleotide ribosomal RNA is filed under the name uncultured bacterium. RNAcentral's name for it is "partial 16S ribosomal RNA". It matches the Rfam family "Bacterial small subunit ribosomal RNA", at positions 338 to 776 of the family's 1533-position model. The record is from RNAcentral.
CCUACGGGAGGCAGCAGUAGGGAAUAUUGCACAAUGGGCGAAAGCCUGAUGGAGCAACGCCGCGUGGGUGAAGAAGGUCUUCGGAGCGUAAAACCCUGUUGGUAGAGAAGAAAGUGCGUGAGCGUGACUGUUCACGUUUCGACGGUAUCUAACCAGAAAGCCACGGCUAACUAAGUGCCAGCAGCCGCGGUAGUACGUAGGGGGCAAGCGUUAUCCGGAUUUAUUGGGCGUAAAGGGAGCGCAGGCGGUCUUUUAAGUCUGAUGUGAAAGCCUGCGGCUUAACCGGAGUAGUGCAUUGGAAACUGGGAGACGUGAGUGCAGAAGAGGAGAGUGGAACUCCAGGUGUAGCGGUGAAAGGCGUAGAUAUAUGGAAGAACACCAGUGGCGAAGGCGGCUCUCUGGUCUGUAACUGACGCUGAGGUUCGAAAGCGUGGGGAGCAAACAGG